CCUACGGGCGGCAGCAGUAGGGAAUCUUUCACAAUGGGCGAAAGCCUGAUGGAGCAACGCCGCGUGCAGGAUGAAGGCCUUCGGGUUGUAAACUGCUUUUAUAAGCGAGAAAUAUGAUGGUAACUUAUGAAUAAGGAUCGGCUAACUACGUGCCAGCAGCCGCGGUCAUACGUAGGAUCCGAGCAUUAUCCGGAGUGACUGGGUGUAAAGAGUUGCGUAGGUGGCAUAAUAAGUAGCUAGUGAAAUCUGGUGGCUCAACCAUUCAGACUAUUAGCUAAACUGUUAAGCUCGAGACCGUUAGGGGUAACUGGAAUUUCUAGUGUAGGAGUGAAAUCCGUAGAUAUUAGAAGGAACACCAAUAGCGUAGGCAGGUUGCUGGGACGGUUCUGACACUAAGGCACGAAAGCGUGGGGAGCAAACAGGAUUAGAUACCCCGGUAGUC
RNAcentral lists this ribosomal RNA (442 nucleotides) under uncultured bacterium. RNAcentral describes it as "partial 16S ribosomal RNA". It matches the Rfam family "Bacterial small subunit ribosomal RNA", at positions 338 to 795 of the family's 1533-position model. The record is from RNAcentral.